This 615-nucleotide ribosomal RNA is filed under the name uncultured bacterium. Its description in RNAcentral is "bacterial SSU rRNA". It matches the Rfam family "Bacterial small subunit ribosomal RNA", at positions 230 to 858 of the family's 1533-position model. The record is from RNAcentral.
CCCGCGUCUGAUUAGCUUGUUGGCGGGGUAGCGGCCCACCAAGGCGACGAUCAGUAGCCGGCCUGAGAGGGUGGACGGCCACAUUGGGACUGAGACACGGCCCAAACUCCUACGGGAGGCAGCAGUGGGGGAUAUUGGACAAUGGGGGAAACCCUGAUCCAGCGACGCCGCGUGAGUGAAGAAGUAUUUCGGUAUGUAAAGCUCUGUCAGCAGGGAAGAAAGAAAUGACGGUACCUGACCAAGAAGCCCCGGCUAACUACGUGCCAGCAGCCGCGGUAAUACGUAGGGGGCAAGCGUUAUCCGGAAUUACUGGGUGUAAAGGGAGCGUAGACGGUGAUGCAAGUCUGGAGUGAAAGGCGGGGGCCCAACCCCCGGACUGCUCUGGAAACUGUGUAACUUGAGUGCAGGAGAGGUAAGCGGAAUUCCUAGUGUAGCGGUGAAAUGCGUAGAUAUUAGGAGGAACACCAGUGGCGAAGGCGGCUUACUGGACUGUAACUGACGUUGAGGCUCGAAAGCGUGGGGAGCAAACAGGAUUAGAUACCCUGGUAGUCCACGCCGUAAACGAUGAUUACUAGGUGUCGGUGGGUAUGGACCCACCGGUGCCGCAGCAAACGC